CCAUGUGUAACCUCUCUCCCUUUCAUCUCGAUCCACCAGACCCAAAUCCCGUCGUGAACUAUCACCCUCAACUGAUCAAGUCUCUCUCUUAUCUCUCCGGCUCCAUCUCUCACUUUCACUCUCUCAUGUCGGUCUCGCACUCAGAAUAGAAAACCCUUCUUGUCUUCCUUCUCUCCCUUGGUUCAGCAGCUCCUUCUCCCUUCUUUAUCAGCAACGACCAUCUUCACCACUUGACAAACGGGAAACGGCGACCUUCAUUCUUCUUCUUUCAUCGUGAACCAUUUGCCUUUGUCUUGGCGAGCGACCUUGUUGGGGGUCUGGGUUUCUGGGUUCGAUCGAAGGUUUUGAUUUCCUUCUUUCUUUUGACUUUCUGAAAGGUGAAAGGAAGAGUCAUGGCUAUGGCAAACAACUAAAUGCGAGGCAAACUUAUGGAGGACAUGAGGUUUUCGGAAUCAGAUUUUUGGGACAAAUUUUGGGUUUGUCUAUUUCGUCGAAGCUUCAUCUUCUUUGGGAGCUAAAUAUUCUUUUGCUGGAUAAUGUUGAUUGUGGUUGUGGGUCUGGAAUUUUUAAUCUGUAAAUGAGGGAGGUUUCAUUGGCAAUGAGAAUGAAGAUGAGGGAGGUUUCACUAGCAAAAGGAAGAAGAACGGUCUUCAUCGAUGAGGGAGGAGAAGGGUUGAGUUCAGAUUCUCUUAUUAUUUUUUUAAUUUUUAAUUAUUAAAAUAUGCCAUAUGGCUGCCAACAUGAAAAGUUAAGGUCAAAAUAAUAGUCAACACAGGCAAACCCUAAUAGCAAGGUGAGGUUGUAUCAAAUUGAAAAAUAUUAGGGUAAAAUUGUGUAAAAAAAUUUGAAGA
Prosopis cineraria is the source of this 851-nucleotide long non-coding RNA. RefSeq lists it as uncharacterized. Lineage: Eukaryota; Viridiplantae; Streptophyta; Magnoliopsida; Fabales; Fabaceae. The transcript is spliced from 2 exons. The record is from RefSeq and is a predicted model, not a curated record.